This 494-nucleotide ribosomal RNA is filed under the name uncultured bacterium. RNAcentral's name for it is "bacterial SSU rRNA". It matches the Rfam family "Bacterial small subunit ribosomal RNA", at positions 30 to 523 of the family's 1533-position model. The record is from RNAcentral.
AUUGAACGCUGGCGGUAUGCUUAACACAUGCAAGUCGAACGGUAACAGGCCUUCGGGCGCUGACGAGUGGCGGACGGUGAGUAACGCGUAGGAAUCUGCCUCAUAGUGGGGACAACGUGGGGAAACUCACGCUAAUACCGCAUACGCCCUACGGGGAAAGCGGGGAGUCUUCGGACCUCGCGCUAUGAGAUGAGCCUGCGUUAGAUUAGCUAGUUGGUAGGGUAAAGGCCUACCAAGGCGACGAUCUAUAGCUGGUCUGAGAGGACGAUCAGCCACACUGGGACUGAGACACGGCCCAGACUCCUACGGGAGGCAGCAGUGGGGAAUAUUGGACAAUGGGCGCAAGCCUGAUCCAGCAAUACCGCGUGUGUGAAGAAGGCCUUAGGUUGUAAAGCACUUUCAAUUAGGGAGGAAAACCUGCCGGUCAAUACCCGGUAGCUUGACAUUACCUUUAGAAGAAGCACCGGCUAACUCCGUGCCAGCAGCCGCGGUAA